Molecule: ribosomal RNA, 502 nt
Filed under: uncultured bacterium
Lineage: Bacteria
Description: bacterial SSU rRNA
Rfam family: Bacterial small subunit ribosomal RNA
Source: RNAcentral
CAUGGCUCAGGAUGAACGCUAGCUACAGGCUUAACACAUGCAAGUCGAGGGGAAACGACAUCGAAAGCUUGCUUUUGAUGGGCGUCGACCGGCGCACGGGUGAGUAACGCGUAUCCAACCUGCCCACCACUUGGGGAUAACCUUGCGAAAGUAAGACUAAUACCCAAUGACGUCCAUAGAAGACAUCUGAAGUGGAUUAAAGAUUUAUCGGUGAUGGAUGGGGAUGCGUCUGAUUAGCUUGUUGGCGGGGUAACGGCCCACCAAGGCGACGAUCAGUAGGGGUUCUGAGAGGAAGGUCCCCCACAUUGGAACUGAGACACGGUCCAAACUCCUACGGGAGGCAGCAGUGAGGAAUAUUGGUCAAUGGGCGAGAGCCUGAACCAGCCAAGUAGCGUGCAGGAUGACGGCCCUAUGGGUUGUAAACUGCUUUUAUAAGGGAAUAAAGUGGAGGUCGUGACCUCUUUUGCAUGUACCUUAUGAAUAAGGACCGGCUAAUUCCGUG